GCGGAAGUGGUGGAAUUGGUAGACACGCUAUCUUGAGGGGGUAGUGCCUCCGGGUGUAUGGGUUCGAGUCCCAUCUUCCGCA
RNAcentral lists this transfer RNA (82 nucleotides) under Halopseudomonas xinjiangensis. RNAcentral describes it as "Pseudomonas xinjiangensis tRNA". It matches the Rfam family "tRNA". Rfam says of the family: Transfer RNA (tRNA) molecules are approximately 80 nucleotides in length. Their secondary structure includes four short double-helical elements and three loops (D, anti-codon, and T loops). Lineage: Bacteria; Pseudomonadati; Pseudomonadota; Gammaproteobacteria; Pseudomonadales; Pseudomonadaceae. The record is from Rfam by way of RNAcentral.